This 315-nucleotide ribosomal RNA is filed under the name Yaniella sp. RNAcentral describes it as "bacterial SSU rRNA". It matches the Rfam family "Bacterial small subunit ribosomal RNA", at positions 1 to 315 of the family's 1533-position model. The record is from RNAcentral. Lineage: Bacteria; Bacillati; Actinomycetota; Actinomycetes; Micrococcales; Micrococcaceae.
UUUGUGGAGGGUUUGAUUCUGGCUCAGGAUGAACGCUGGCGGCGUGCUUAACACAUGCAAGUCGAACGGGAUCCAUCAAGCUUGCUUGAUGGUGAGAGUGGCGAACGGGUGAGUAAUGCGUGACUAACCUGCCUCAUACACCGGAAUAGCUCCUGGAAACGGGUGGUAAUGCCGGAUGCUCCAACAUUUCACAUGUUUUGUUGGGAAAGCGUUAGCGGUAUGAGAUGGGGUCGCGUCCUAUCAGCUUGUUGGUGAGGUAAUGGCUCACCAAGGCUUCGACGGGUAGCCGGCCUGAGAGGGCGACCGGCCACAUUG